Molecule: ribosomal RNA, 424 nt
Filed under: uncultured bacterium
Lineage: Bacteria
Description: bacterial SSU rRNA
Rfam family: Bacterial small subunit ribosomal RNA
Source: RNAcentral
GAUGAACGCUGGCGGCGUGCUUAACACAUGCAAGUCGAACGAAGCACUUUAUUUGAUUUCCUUCGGGAUUGAUUAUUUUGUGACUGAGUGGCGGACGGGUGAGUAACGCGUGGGUAACCUGCCUUGUACAGGGGGAUAACAGUUGGAAACGGCUGCUAAUACCGCAUAAGCGCACAGCAUCGCAUGAUGCAGUGUGAAAAACUCCGGUGGUAUAAGAUGGACCCGCGUUGGAUUAGCUAGUUGGUGAGGUAACGGCCCACCAAGGCGACGAUCCAUAGCCGACCUGAGAGGGUGACCGGCCACAUUGGGACUGAGACACGGCCCAAACUCCUACGGGAGGCAGCAGUGGGGAAUAUUGCACAAUGGGCGAAAGCCUGAUGCAGCGACGCCGCGUGAGCGAAGAAGUAUUUCGGUAUGUAAAGCU